GUGGAACCAGUCUGCGGCAGUCCGAUGGCCCCGGGACAAAACAAAGUUGCCUGACAGCGAUAUUUUCUGCCGUUCAAGUGGGAUCGACAAAAAAAAAAAACCGCAUUAAAAUAUCGCUGUUUCUGUCUAAAUUCACAUGUCCGCAUCUCGGUUUGCAGGCGAAUGAAAGAGUACGCUGAGCUCGCUGUGCAGCUUGCAGCAGAGCAGCGGUGCCACAGCGCCCACUAUUUCAAAAGCUGGGAAUAUUAUUUCACAAGACUUGGAACGGCUCAAUAAAAAAAGUUACUAUCCGUUUCGACAACUUUGUCGGUAACUUUCGGGAAACGAAUCUGCGUUUCUAUUGAACCUCCGACACCCCUUAAAACGAAGUACAAGAUGGAGCUCAGACUUGUACGGAAAUGUUUGUCUCUGUUUCUGAAAGGAGUGUGAUCAACAAAAAGCACCAGCGGCGUUUCUCAUCACACAUGAAACUUUCUGACACUGAGAACCACGGAACAGCAGAGAGCAGAGAACCGAGGCUGAGCAGCCAGAGCAGGACACAUUUUUAGCAGAAAAGUUAACUCUGGACAAAGAGUCGCCCCCUCCUCUCUUAAGGAUAUGACAAAUGACAAGGACUCAUUGGACAUCUACACAACCACGAGUUUGUAGCCGGCGGCUGAAAGCGAUAAGAAGGGGAAAAUAGAAGACCUACUUUUGGCCAGUUUUCUCGCCCUCGCCUUGGAUCUCAUCUUGUCGGCUUGUAGAUUCCUCUCGUCGUCCUCCGUGAGCCCAGAAGCAGCAACAACACUAUCUUCAUCUCACCAGCAUUAUCACUUAUCUCUUCCCCUCCUCCUCUUCCUCCUCCUCCCGCUCUCUCCUCACCAUCUCACCUACCCUCCCUCCCCCCUUGCCAUCCCCUUACCCUCGUCUCCCUCCUCACCCAGACACCCCCCCACCCACCCCAUUCAGCUCCUGCCAGCACCUCCUUGGAUUUUACCCCUUUAACAGCAACAACUUGGAUUUCUCCAACCGGCGCUGGACACAGUGAGUUAUGGACAAGCAGCGACCAGCAGCUGUUUGACGCACGUAGCCCGCACCAGCAGAUCCGGGGGGAAGAAGCCCUGACUUUUUUUUCUCUCCCUCCAAUGUUCACAUUUGUAACAAUGAUAUUUGUAGCGGUUAUUUCCUGGAGAAGUGUUUUUUGUUAGUGCGUGUGCCGGGUAAAGUCACCUGAACGAAGGUGGACAGACUGCACACUUUCUCUUCGUAAGUAUUACUUUGCCUUGCACCUGUUUGUUUGUUUGUUUGUUUGUGUACUGCAGGACCGAGGAAACCGACCUAAACGUUACACCGUUCCUCCAGCAGUCUGAUGAAGCAAGGUUUGGAGUGGCUCUCCACAGCAGGCCUCUCCCUCCUCCCCUCUAAUGAAGUCCCCAGAAGCGGUCAUAGUGAAGUUGCCUUGAUCAGAGGAGCGAGGAGCGAGGAGCGGACAACCCCGCCAAACAAAUGCACAUUAAAAUAUCGCCGGGAGGCUCGAGUGAAAAUUACCCCGAUGUAGAAAUGACCUUAAUAUGAUGUAAUCAAUCACGCUGUCUGCUGGGACACUGGGAAUCACAAUGUUAAUCUUUGGCGGGGGGGAAACAGCCUGUCAUAUUUUACAACUCCACCAAAGAGCACACAGUAUGCAAGUUCAGUGACACAUACGGCUACAAUAUAGGCAUUAUACCAUUAAGGAUGUUAUAUUUAAAUGGAGGUCCACACAUUUUGUGGUGCAGGCUGAGAGGCCUUAGGGCCUGCAGUUCGUUACAGUUUUUCUCUCCAAAUGUGUCACUUGAGUAAUACCACAUUUUUGAAAAAUGUAGAAUGUAGGUAUGCCAUUCAUUUAAAUUUCAAAAAACGAAUAAAGAGACUUUUUUUUUUUUUUUAAACUACAAUUU
Long non-coding RNA from Eleginops maclovinus (Patagonian blennie), 1916 nucleotides. RefSeq lists it as uncharacterized. The record is from RefSeq and is a predicted model, not a curated record. The transcript is spliced from 5 exons. Lineage: Eukaryota; Metazoa; Chordata; Actinopteri; Perciformes; Eleginopidae.